UUUUUUUUUGAGUUUUUACCACAUUCCUUUGCCUACAACAUAUUUCUCUGGCUUCACAUUUCCCUACUGCGUUCCUCAUCAUUUCUUCCCAAACUUCUGCGUAAUAGUUAUUGCUCCUCGUCUCCACUCCAAGUUGAUAAAAUUAGUUGAGUGUCUAGUGUGGGCUUUGCAGUUGGAGAGACUGACAACUAUGUUCUUGAAUCUGCAGUUGAGUCUUCCGUCUCUAAUGGUGAUACCAUAUCUGUUCAUGUCAUUUGUAGAUGUCUAUAGAAUUAGUCUGACAUUAGGCAGUCUAUUUGCUGAAGAUUGGUUGCGUUUUUCUGUCUUGCUUGUUGUGUAGUGUGAGGCAUCAGCCCUGGGUUGUGUAGGCAGUUGGGUGCAGUACAUCUGAGAUUAAGAAAGAGGCCUUCAACGAGACUGUCACCAGUUAAUAAUCAGUGUAGACAGGAAUUCUCUAGUGUCCCAUGAUCCUGGUCUCAGUGUGAAAGGUUGUAAUGGAAUGCAAAGAGCUGGGAUUCUUGGCCUCCAGAGGAGAGGAAUUCAAUCUGGGGCCAGAGAUAAGGCUGGAUCACUCAGAGCUUUGUAUAAUAAAAUUUUAUUAAAAUAUCAAUGAGAUAGAGAAAACUUCUCAUAUAGGCAUCAGAAUGGGGCAGAAAGAGUACCCUCCUGCUAGUCUUCAGCUGGAUAUUAUAUAGUCACUAGUAGUCUGUUAAUGAAAGAAAGGAAUGUUUUAAAACUCAGAGUGGUACCAGGCCCCCUCACACAUAAGAUGCAUUUUGGGAUAAUCUUGGC
Molecule: small RNA, 792 nt
Filed under: Bos taurus (domestic cattle)
Lineage: Eukaryota; Metazoa; Chordata; Mammalia; Artiodactyla; Bovidae
Source: RNAcentral